This 306-nucleotide ribosomal RNA is filed under the name uncultured Planctomycetota bacterium. Its description in RNAcentral is "bacterial SSU rRNA". It matches the Rfam family "Bacterial small subunit ribosomal RNA", at positions 29 to 351 of the family's 1533-position model. The record is from RNAcentral. Lineage: Bacteria; Pseudomonadati; Planctomycetota.
AAUGAACGUUGGCGGCAUGGAUUAGGCAUGCAAGUCGAGCGCGAUGUGUAGCAAUACACGGAAAGCGGCGGAAGGGAGAGUAAUACGUGGGAAUCUGCCCUUAGACCUGGGAUAGCAGCGGGAAACUGCUGGUAAUACCAGAUAAUGUCUAUGGACCAAAGGUGUGAUUCCGUCUAGGGAUGAGCCCACGUCCUAUUAGCUAGUUGGUAGGGUAAUGGCCUACCAAGGCGAUGAUGGGUAGCGGGUGUGAGAGCAUGACCCGCCUCACUGGGACUGAGACACUGCCCAGACACCUACGGGUGGCAG